This 5042-nucleotide long non-coding RNA is filed under the name Homo sapiens (human). RNAcentral's name for it is "HSALNT0345558". Lineage: Eukaryota; Metazoa; Chordata; Mammalia; Primates; Hominidae. The record is from RNAcentral.
CUGCUCUGCCUAUGGAAUAGCCUUUCUAUAUUCCUUUACUUUCUUCAUAAACUUACUUUCACUUUACUCUAUGGACUUGUCUUGAAUUCUUUCUUGCAUGAGAUUCAAGAACCAUCUCUUGGGGUCUGGACUGGGACUCUUUUCCAUAACAUGAGGACUUGUUAAGAUCACCCUUGGUGCCUUCUGCAGGGAAACAAGAAGGAAUUCUAUGUAUUGUCUAAAGAUCCAGACAGGCAGUGAAGGCUUCCUGGAGGAGGUAAGCCUGAGCUUAGCUUUGAUGCUUAGCUGGUGCGGAGGUGGGCAGUGCAGGAAGGGAGAGCAGGACAUCCAGUCUCUAUGCUCGAGCCCCUCCCUCAGCAAGAAGGUUGGCCAUGAACCACAGAUGACUCCAUGGCUACAGCAAAUUAUUUUUGAAGGCACUACUAGCAAACAGCUUAAUUGCACCAGGCAAUCCCUGCCAUCUCUUCCAUAGACAAAUAGCUUCCAAAGAAGGCAUUAAUUGGAGUGGUUUAAAUAGCUGUUGUUUAUUUACUAUCACAGAGCCGGCAACUGUUUUGAGCACCCAGUAGAAAGGACUGCCUGAAUUUCCACCCCUACCCUCUUUUCCUCACCUCCCCAUCCAGCCCAACAAGCCCCUCCAAUCUGACUACCUCCUCCUUCCCUCCUUUUGGGAGCACUGCUGGAUCAGCCUUUUUAUUUUAUGUCGCCUGAUUUAUCUGUUCUGGGAAGCUUUCAUCUCAACUUGGAGAAUGUUCAAAGUAAAGCUCACCCUGUUACAGACUUAAUUGGACCAUAUUUCAGUCCCAGUGCAUCUGUUCAGUGUGGCUUCCGUAUCCUGGGUCCAUAAACUUUUAUUAAGUUAUAUAUCAGGGAAUAUACACAUAUAUUCCACUAACAUGUUUGGGAUCUUUUUUCUCCUUUUCCUUUUUUUCCCCCUCUCCUUUUCUUUAUGUUGUUUUUAUUUUCACCACUGGGGAGGGAUACCUAUGGGCUCAGAGGGAGAUGGAAUAGAAUUUACUAGAUUUCCCUAUCUUUGUUUAAACCAGAAAGGACAGGAUCACAUUAACCUCAAUUUAGUACAGCGACUAGAUGUCUGAGUCGGGAUUCUGCUAAUUUCCAUUCGGUUUACUGGGUAUGUUUGAUAUGCUAAUUCUCAACACCCAUCUCCCCAAGCUCUCCAAGAAAUUUGCUUUUCAAUAGCCCUGCUUAAGCGGGGGAGGAGAGAGAGAUAAGUGAAAGGGAUAAUUUUGAAAAAGAAAACAGACUUAAAGCGGAACAGCAACAACUGUUUGCUCAAUCCUGUUUACUAAUUUGAAAUAACAGUUUAAAAUAGAUGUGAAAUACCAUGCCACCGGAGGGAAAACGUAUCUCUGCCCUUGGGCCCAAGUGUUUCCGGAUUUGACAGUCUGGGUUGAGCGCUUUGAUUGGUUGACCUGGUACUGACGUCACAAUUGUUCAAAUCUGCUGGAAGGAAAAUUCCUCCCCUUGAACGUUGUCCUAGAUCAUCUCUAGUGCUUGGGUUGAGACCUUUCUGAACCAGGUGACAGAGGGUAAUGGAGAAAGGUUUUCCCAAGAGAAACUCUGGGAAGCCAUUGACGAGCAGAAAGCGCGCGGAGUGGCAGGGGUCAUUACCGUCGUUACUGGCAGUAAUGAUGCGGCUGGUUCCACGUGAUGAGAGCUUCCUGCUUUCCAGUAUGUGCAGCAAAACUCAGAUUAAGAUUUUGGUGCUGGUGUCCACUGAAUUUUAAAAGCUCAUCAAAAUUCCCAAGGCCGGGUGCAACCUUUUCAAGUGUGGCUCUAACCUGCAUCUAUCUAAGCACCAGUCAAGCCCGUUGCAUCCACAGCUCAACUUCAGGCCUUGGGGAGCAUUUUUCUAAUAGAUUUUGAGGUCCCACUGUGCCUUCACCAGGACAUACUGUUCCACUCCUGCGUGCCACCCCUACGUAUUUACUGAUCUUCUUAAGUCAUUCUCUAGUUUUUUACUCCAUCCGUCAGCACCAUGGUGAUCUUCACCUACUGUUUGUUCCUGGAACCCUGGGCAGGAAUCUGCCAUUCACGUUCAUAAGAGCUCUCCGGGUCUUCCUCAACAAUAUCUUCUUGGAUGCCCUUUAUUUAAAGUUUGUAAAGAAAGGAGAACUUACAGGAUAAUCAGGCAGCUCUGGGACUGAAUCCCAGCUUCACCAUUAGUUCUGAGGCUUCAGACAAGUUAUUUAACCUCCCUGAGCCUGGGUGAAACGGAUAUAAUUUAAUUACCCUACAGGGUAUCUUGAGAUUUAGUGAUAGUGUAUCUAAAAGCAUUUAGUGCAGAGCCAGGCUCGUGGAUACGUUAAUAAUAAUAUUUUAUUAAGAGUAUCAUUAUAACAUUACUAUUAUCGUGACCAUAUUGUUUUGUUAUUAUUAUGAUUAUGUUAUAUUCUUAUUUUACUAUUAUGACAGUCAUGUGCCGCAUAACAACAUUUAGUCAAUGAUGGAUCACAAACAUGACAGUGGUCCUAUAAGAGCUCACUUCCUUGCUUCUGCUUUCACUAUAUUAUGUGUCUGCUCCCUCUUUGCCUUCUGCAAAUUUAGUGUAGCCUCAGUGUGCCAUAUUUAUAAAGCCUACAGUGUUGUACAGUAGUGUCCUAGGCCUUCACAUUCACUCACCAUGCACUCCCUGACUCACCCAGAGCAACUUCCAGUCCUUCAAGCUCCAUCCAUGCUGGAACUGAGCUUUUGCUUGCCAUCCACCACUGCUGCUGGUCAACGUGGCAGACCCGCCACUGACAUCCAUCCCUCCGGAUCCGUCAGGGUGUCCGCUGUGCUCCUGAUCCACUGAGGCGCCCAUUGCUGCUCCCCAUCCGGCUAAAGGCUUGCCAUUGUUCCUGCACGGCUAAGUGCCCAGCUUCGUCCUAAUGGAGCUGAACACUAGUCACUGGGUUCCACGGUUCUCUUCCGUGACCCACGGCUUCUAAUAGAGCUAUAACACGCACGGCAUGGCCCAAGAUUCCAUUCCUUGGAAUCCGUGAGGCCAAGAACCCCACGUCAGAGAACAAGAGGCUUGCCACCAUCUUGGAAGCAGCCCGCCGCCAUUUUGGAAGCAGCCCACCACCAUCUUGGGAGCUCUGGGAGCAAGGACUCCCGCAACAAUACUUACCACUGUGUUACAACUACCUAUUCAGUCUAGUAACCUGCUGUAGAGGUAUGUGGCCGAGAAGCAGUAGAGGAUAUCAUACAGCCUAGGUGUGCAGUAGGCUAUACUCUCUAGGUUUGUGUAAGUACACUCUGCGGUGUUCAAAGGGUGUUGAAAUUGUCUAACGUUGAAUUUCUUAGAACGUAUCCCCAUCAUUAAGCAACAUAUGACUGUAUUAUUAUUAUUAUUAUUUUACACAUGAGGAAAUUGAUUUGAGAGUUUCAUUCCUCCAAUGUCAAUUUUAGAAUUCUGUUUACUGAAAAUCCUAAAUUGUGGAUAUGCCCAAAGCCCUGUGUGAGGUAAUGGAGAUAGAAGACGAACACAGAGUUCCUUCUGACUAGGAAUUCUGGGUGUAGUGGCUGAAGGGGACCAGGCAGAGGGAGUGUGAGGGAGGGGAAUUAAGGGGGUGGGGAAGGCGCAUGAAAGGAGCACACUUCAUCCAUAAACCACCACAGCACCACAAAGUGCUCUAAGUGAAAUGCACUGAAGCAUUUGGGAGUGUAGAGGAGUGGCUGCCUGGUAGACUGGAAGUGCCAUCUGAACAGCCGUGUUACUACAGAUGGGUUUUGAUAAAGGAACGUGUGUUACCAGGCUGGAAAUUAAUAAAUGGCAUCAAAAGAGGAAAUAAAUGAUAUAUACAAAAGUCUGAAGAUGAAGGAUGUAUUAGGGACUUGCUAGAAGUUCAGUGUGAUAGGAGUAUUGGGUGUGCAGGUAUAAUAGAAGUGAGUACAAGGUGAGGUUGAAAACUCAGUGUAUUAGUUAUCUAUUACUGCUUAAUAAACUGCCCUAAAACCUAGCUUAAAGCAACAAAUGUUUAUCAUCUCACAGCCUCUGUAGAACAAGAAUUCAGGCCCACUUCAGCUGGUGCCUCUGGUUCCAGCUCUUAUCUCUAAGGAGGCUGCAAUUGAGGUGUCAGCCAGGGCUGCAGUCAUCUCAAGCAUCCAUGGAUGUGAGGGGGAUUAUCUGCUCCAAGCUCACUCAAGUGGCUGUUGGCAGGAUUCGCUUCUGCACUAGCUGCUGGCUUGAGAACUCCCUCAGCUCCUGGCCCUGUAGGCCUCUCUAUGGGGCAGCACCCAACAGGACAGCUGCUGCCAGCAGGGUGAGUAAACAAGAGAUCAAGAGAAUUAUCUGGUGCCAGCAAGAUGGAAGUCAAGGUCCUUUCUAACCUUAGACAUGACAUCCCACUCUGUUUGCCAUAUUCUAUUUGCUAGAGGAGUGUCCCUAGAUUUAACUCACAUUCCAUGGCAAGGGAUGACACAGGGGGUAAAUACCAGGAGAAGGGGACCAUUGGGCCACCUUGGAAAACUGUCCACCGUGUGUACGUAGGGGGAAGCUCAUAAAGGAAUUUAUAUGCUUGACGAAGGAAUGUGUGCUUUAUUUUAAGAGGCACGAGAAGCUACUAAAAGAACUUCAGGGAUGGGGAGUGGAGAUUGACACUUUAGGUAGGAUCACUCUUACAGAAGUGGGGAGAGAGGAUUCCAGUGGGAGACUCUGGAGGGACGAGGCUAGUUGGAAGCCUGCGGGAUUAGACGCAGGAGAUGAUGGGAGCUUGACCCAAGGCAAGGAGAGACGAUGCAGAGAGAAGGGUUCAGGUUGCAGAGCAUUUCAUAAGCAGAAACAAUGAAUCUGUCUUGGUGACUGGCUGGGGAAGAGAAGCAAAUCAACCUACCUCCAGGUGGAUGAACUGUGAUCAUACCACUGUACUCCAGCCAGGGUGACAGAGUGAGAUCUUGUCGCAAAAAAUAAAAUAAAACAAAACACAACAAAAAUCUUACUAUAUACCUACAGAUGAGCGGGAUACUUUAACUACAGUUAAGUUCAUCCUCUAGCCCUGCCUUCUCUGACAGCUGCUGCAUAUUAAAAGCACUUUAGU